This 468-nucleotide ribosomal RNA is filed under the name uncultured bacterium. RNAcentral's name for it is "partial 16S ribosomal RNA". It matches the Rfam family "Bacterial small subunit ribosomal RNA", at positions 28 to 507 of the family's 1533-position model. The record is from RNAcentral.
GACGAACGCUGGCGGCGUGCUUAACACAUGCAAGUCGAACGGAAAGGCCCUGCUUUUGUGGGGUGCUCGAGUGGCGAACGGGUGAGUAACACGUGAGUAACCUGCCCUUGACUUUGGGAUAACUUCAGGAAACUGGGGCUAAUACCGGAUAGGAGCUCCUGCUGCAUGGUGGGGGUUGGAAAGUUUCGGCGGUUGGGGAUGGACUCGCGGCUUAUCAGCUUGUUGGUGGGGUAGUGGCUUACCAAGGCUUUGACGGGUAGCCGGCCUGAGAGGGUGACCGGCCACAUUGGGACUGAGAUACGGCCCAGACUCCUACGGGAGGCAGCAGUGGGGAAUAUUGCACAAUGGGCGGAAGCCUGAUGCAGCAACGCCGCGUGCGGGAUGACGGCCUUCGGGUUGUAAACCGCUUUCGCCUGUGACGAAGAGUGAGUGACGGUAAUGGAUAAGGAAGCACCGGCUAACUACGUG